This 790-nucleotide ribosomal RNA is filed under the name uncultured bacterium. RNAcentral's name for it is "bacterial SSU rRNA". It matches the Rfam family "Bacterial small subunit ribosomal RNA", at positions 10 to 799 of the family's 1533-position model. The record is from RNAcentral.
AGUUUGAUCCUGGCUCAGGAUGAACGCUAGCGGCAGGCCUAAUACAUGCAAGUCGAACGGGAUUGGAGAGCUUGCUUUCCAUGAGAGUGGCGUACGGGUGCGUAACGCGUAUGCAACCUACCUUCAUCAGGGGGAUAGCCCGAAGAAAUUCGGAUUAACACCGCAUAACAUUAUUGGAUGGCAUCAUUUAAUAAUCAAAUAUUUAUAGGAUGAAGAUGGGCAUGCGUGUCAUUAGCUAGUUGGUGAGGUAACGGCUCACCAAGGCGACGAUGACUAGGGGAUCUGAGAGGAUGACCCCCCACACUGGUACUGAGACACGGACCAGACUCCUACGGGAGGCAGCAGUAAGGAAUAUUGGUCAAUGGGGGCAACCCUGAACCAGCCAUGCCGCGUGCAGGAAGACUGCCCUAUGGGUUGUAAACUGCUUUUAUACGGGAAUAAACCUUGAUUCGUGAAUCGAGCUGAAUGUACCGUAAGAAUAAGGAUCGGCUAACUCCGUGCCAGCAGCCGCGGUAAUACGGAGGAUCCAAGCGUUAUCCGGAUUUAUUGGGUUUAAAGGGAGCGUAGGCGGCCUAUUAAGUCAGGGGUGAAAGACGGUGGCUCAACCAUCGCAGUGCCUUUGAUACUGGUAGGCUUGAAUGUAGUUGAGGUAGGCGGAAUGUGACAAGUAGCGGUGAAAUGCAUAGAUAUGUCACAGAACACCGAUUGCGAAGGCAGCUUACUAAGCUAUGAUUGACGCUGAGGCUCGAAAGCGUGGGGAUCAAACAGGAUUAGAUACCCUGGUAUCGUG